RNAcentral lists this transfer RNA (56 nucleotides) under Onchocerca volvulus. RNAcentral's name for it is "tRNA OVOC13521". Lineage: Eukaryota; Metazoa; Nematoda; Chromadorea; Rhabditida; Onchocercidae. The record is from RNAcentral.
UGUAUUUUUAGUAUAAUAAGUAUGGCAAAUUUAGGUUUUGUUGGUUAUUAAUAUAA